GGCGAGAUGGCCGAGCGGUCUAAGGCGCCAGACUAAGGACCAGCACCUUGUGAGGUGCACUGGAUAUCUGGUCCUCCGGGGCGUGGGUUCGAAUCCCACUCUCGUCA
Marasmius sp. AFHP31 is the source of this 107-nucleotide non-coding RNA. Lineage: Eukaryota; Fungi; Basidiomycota; Agaricomycetes; Agaricales; Marasmiaceae. The record is from the annotation of a GenBank genome assembly.